UUCACCCAUCAAAUAAAUCCAAGUGGGAAAACACAAAGUUGCCGACACACGAGAUCGGAAUCGGAUACAAACGGGCCCAAUCGCGGGUCACCCCGGUUCGGUUUGGUUCUGAAGGACCCCGCGCCUGCAGCUGGAGCGCAAACCCAAAUCUGCUCUGUUCUAUUCGGGAGCGCGUCCGGCGCCGGGAUUUCUCGAUCAGAAAAUAACCUCUGCAAGGGAAAAAACUCUCUCCGAACGAGUCAUGUGGGUUUUGUUUUCCUUAAGGAAAGCAGCCCUCGCAGCGGGAAUGCUUGUCAGCCUCCAGCCAUCCACAACAACGCUCUUUUCUCCCCGCGCUCCUCCUUUUCGCUCUCAGCCCUGGCGUCGCCGUGUCUCCCGCAUCCCGCCGAUGGGCACCGUCCCGGGGGAUGCCUCCCACCCUCCCUCCCUCCCGGUGGUGAUGCCGCCCGCACCGCCGGCCCCAGGUGCGCCGCCCGACCCCGGCACGAACUUUGGGCACCGCGCUGCGUCCCGGGACGCGGCCGGGAUCCCGGCUCUUACCUGCCACCGUUGCGGGCUGGGUGGGGGUCUCGGCGCGCCGCGGGCGGGAGCGGGGCUGGGGCUGCAGCUGCGCGGCGGCGGCGGGGCCAGGGCGCAGCGCGGCAGCGGCAGCGGCAGCAGCAGCCCCGGCCGGCGUCAGUCAGGCGGGAGCCGCCAGCCUGUAUUAGUGCGCCGGGCUGGAGCGCGGCCAGCAGCGCCGCUGCCGCCGGCCCGCCCCUGCGCUCCCCCCGCCGCCCGCCUCGCGCGCACACUCGCUCUUUUUCCCUCUCUCUCUCACACACACACACUACAUGGAGUGUGACACACUCAUACAGUUCACCCUCCGCACCCACUGCGCGCCGCUCGCCCCGCUCACUCUCUGCAUCGCACCCAUCCCGGUCCCCGAGCGCCGCCAUUUCCCGCCCCGUCUCUCUAGGGGCAGAAGCCGGGCCUGGGCACCCCGAGGGGGCGAGGAGAAGCGCACAGCCCUCCCUUCCCGAGUGUCCCUCCGGGGAUGUGACCAGACCCCUCACAAAUGGCUCCGAGCACCGCGGGGUGGCUGUGAGGGGGACACUGGGACAGUGCCCUGUGAGGGAGCUGGGCUCCGGUUGUACCUCCCCGGGCUGUGCGGGACCACCAGCUCUCCUCAGGAUCCUCUGCCUGGAUGACACACCGGGGAUGUCAGUAUUGGAGGUGUCCUCUUCGUCCCACGGUCACAGCAGUGCUUGUGGCUGUGGGAUCCAGCUGCUGGGGUCCCACCAGCCCAGCAGGCAGUGCCUGGAAUUUUGCUGCCCAAUGGUUUUGUGA
Molecule: long non-coding RNA, 1326 nt
Filed under: Coturnix japonica (Japanese quail)
Lineage: Eukaryota; Metazoa; Chordata; Aves; Galliformes; Phasianidae
Description: lncRNA (ENSCJPG00005019891.1)
Source: RNAcentral